Long non-coding RNA from Xiphias gladius (swordfish), 322 nucleotides. RefSeq lists it as uncharacterized. The record is from RefSeq and is a predicted model, not a curated record. The transcript is spliced from 3 exons. NCBI's taxonomy places the organism in Eukaryota, Metazoa, Chordata, Actinopteri, Istiophoriformes, Xiphiidae.
UGGAGUAUUUCCAGUAGGUAAGAAUGCGUCUGAUCUGGACAAUCUCCUGUUCUGUGCUACACGUGUGAAAGGGCAACUCCGGACAAUAUCGGACCUGAUUCUCCGAGGUUCAUAUGAGAAAAUGGCUUAGGAGAGGACUAUAAAGUGUGGAAAAAUAGAGAGCACUGUAAAUCAGAAGAAGCUGUAUCAUUCACCGGGACCAACAGAGGCCAGUGGAAGCCAGACUCUCCCUGUUGUUUGCAAUGUUUGGAUCGAAGUAACGGCACUGGAUGCCCCUGUGGAGGACAAGCCAAAACAAACGUAAUGCCCACUGAGGACCAAC